ACUCAAAGGAAUUGACGGGGGCCCGCACAAGCGGUGGAGCAUGUGGAUUAAUUCGAUGCAACGCGAAGAACCUUACCAAGGCUUGACAUGGAGAUGACCGGAUCAGAAAUGGUCCUUUCCUUCGGGACAUCUCACACAGGUGGUGCAUGGUUGUCGUCAGCUCGUGUCGUGAGAUGUUGGGUUAAGUCCCGCAACGAGCGCAACCCUUAUGUUCAGUUGCCAGCGCGUAAAGGCGGGUACACUGGAGAGACUGCCGUGGAUAACACGGAGGAAGGUGGGGAUGAUGUCAAAUCAUCAUGCCCCUUACGUCUUGGGCUUCACACGUGCUACAAUGGUUUUUACAAAGUGCAGCGAAGGGGUGACCCGGAGCGAACCACAAAAAAAGACCCCAGUUCGGAUUGCACUCUGCAACUCGAGUGCAUGAAGUUGGAAUCGCUAGUAAUCGCGAAUCAGCACGUCGCGGUGAAUACGUUCCCGGGCCUUGUACACACCGCCCGU
This 498-nucleotide ribosomal RNA is filed under the name uncultured bacterium. RNAcentral's name for it is "bacterial SSU rRNA". It matches the Rfam family "Bacterial small subunit ribosomal RNA", at positions 899 to 1397 of the family's 1533-position model. The record is from RNAcentral.